Small nuclear RNA from Ochotona princeps (American pika), 96 nucleotides. NCBI's taxonomy places the organism in Eukaryota, Metazoa, Chordata, Mammalia, Lagomorpha, Ochotonidae. The record is from Ensembl.
GUUCUUUCUUGAACAUCCACCAAGUUUGGAAUGAGAGAGAUCAGCAUGGCCCCUGAGCAUGGAUGACACAAAAUGCAUGGAGUGUCCUGCAUUGUU